Molecule: ribosomal RNA, 486 nt
Filed under: uncultured Oribacterium sp.
Lineage: Bacteria; Bacillati; Bacillota; Clostridia; Lachnospirales; Lachnospiraceae
Description: bacterial SSU rRNA
Rfam family: Bacterial small subunit ribosomal RNA
Source: RNAcentral
UCCUGGCUCAGGAUGAACGCUGCGGCGUGCCUAACACAUGCAAGUCGAACGAGAUGCGUAUUGGAAAGACUUCGGCCGGAAGAUGCGUUAUCUAGUGGCGACGGGUGAGUAACACUGGGUAACCUGCCUUAUGAGGGGGAGUAACAGAGAGAAAUCACUGCUAAUACCGCAUAAGCACACAGUACCGCAUGGUACAGGGUGAAAAGAUUUAUCGCCAUAAGAUGGACCCGCGUCUGAUUAGCCAGUUGGCAGGGUAAAAGCCUACCAAAGCAACGAUCAGUAGCCGAUCUGAGAGGAUGACCGGCCACAUUGGGACUGAGACACGGCCCAAACUCCUACGGGAGGCAGCAGUGGGGAAUAUUGCACAAUGGGGGAAACCCUGAUGCAGCGACGCCGCGUGAGUGAAGAAGUAUUUCGGUAUGUAAAGCUCUAUCAGCAGGGAAGAUAAUGACAGUACCUGACUAAGAAGCCCCGGCUAACUACGUG